AACGAACGCUGGCGGCAGGCUUAACACAUGCAAGUCGAACGCAUCCUUCGGGGUGAGUGGCAGACGGGUGAGUAACGCGUGGGAACGUGCCCUUCAGUUCGGGAUAACCCAGGGAAACUUGGGCUAAUACCGGAUACGUGCGAGAGCAGAAAGAUUUAUCGCUGAAGGAUCGGCCCGCGUCCGAUUAGCUAGUUGGUGGGGUAAUGGCCCACCAAGGCGACGCUCAGUAGCUGGUCUGAGAGGAUGAUCAGCCACAUUGGGACUGAGACACGGCCCAAACUCCUACGGGAGGCAGCAGUGGGGAGUAUUGGACAAUGGGCGCAAGCCUGAUCCAGCCAUGCCGCGUGAGUGAUGAAGGCCUUAGGGUUGUAAAGCUCUUUCGUCCGGGACGAUAAUGACGGUACCGGAAGAAGAAGCCCCGGCUAACUUCGUGCCAGCCGCCGCGGUAA
This 449-nucleotide ribosomal RNA is filed under the name uncultured bacterium. RNAcentral's name for it is "partial 16S ribosomal RNA". It matches the Rfam family "Bacterial small subunit ribosomal RNA", at positions 29 to 523 of the family's 1533-position model. The record is from RNAcentral.